CCUGGUGGCUCAGAUGGUAAAGCAUCUGCCUGCAAUGCAGGUGACCAGGAUUCAACCCCUGGGUCAGGA
This 69-nucleotide transfer RNA is filed under the name Ovis aries (sheep). It matches the Rfam family "tRNA". From Rfam's summary of the family: Transfer RNA (tRNA) molecules are approximately 80 nucleotides in length. Their secondary structure includes four short double-helical elements and three loops (D, anti-codon, and T loops). Further hydrogen bonds mediate the characteristic L-shaped molecular structure. tRNAs have two regions of fundamental functional importance: the anti-codon, which is responsible for specific mRNA codon recognition, and the 3' end, to which the tRNAs corresponding amino acid is attached (by aminoacyl-tRNA synthetases). tRNAs cope with the degeneracy of the genetic code in two manners: having more than one tRNA (with a specific anti-codon) for a particular amino acid; and 'wobble' base-pairing, i.e. permitting non-standard base-pairing at the 3rd anti-codon position. Lineage: Eukaryota; Metazoa; Chordata; Mammalia; Artiodactyla; Bovidae. The record is from Rfam by way of RNAcentral.